This 434-nucleotide ribosomal RNA is filed under the name uncultured Lachnospiraceae bacterium. RNAcentral describes it as "partial 16S ribosomal RNA". It matches the Rfam family "Bacterial small subunit ribosomal RNA", at positions 341 to 792 of the family's 1533-position model. The record is from RNAcentral. Lineage: Bacteria; Bacillati; Bacillota; Clostridia; Lachnospirales; Lachnospiraceae.
ACGGAAGGCAGCAGUGGGGGAUAUUGCACAAUGGGGGAAACCCUGAUGCAGCGACGCCGCGUGAGUGAAGAAGUAUUUCGGUAUGUAAAGCUCUAUCAGCAGGGAAGAAAAUGACGGUACCUGACUAAGAAGCACCGGCUAAAUACGUGCCAGCAGCCGCGGUAAUACGUAUGGUGCAAGCGUUAUCCGGAUUUACUGGGUGUAAAGGGAGCGUAGACGGACGGCUAAGUCUGAUGUGAAAGGUGAGGGCUCAACCCUUAAACUGCAUUGGAAACUGGUCAUCUGGAGUGUCGGAGAGGUAAGUGGAAUUCCUAGUGUAGCGGUGAAAUGCGUAGAUAUUAGGAGGAACACCAGUGGCGAAGGCGGCUUACUGGACGAUAACUGACGUUGAGGCUCGAAAGCGUGGGGAGCAAACAGGAUUAGAUACCCUGGUA